This 301-nucleotide ribosomal RNA is filed under the name uncultured bacterium. RNAcentral describes it as "partial 16S ribosomal RNA". It matches the Rfam family "Bacterial small subunit ribosomal RNA", at positions 509 to 807 of the family's 1533-position model. The record is from RNAcentral.
CAGUCGCCGCGGGAAUACGAAGGGUGCAAGCGUUACUCGGAAUUACUGGGCGUAAAGGGUGCGUAGGCGGUUAGUUAAGUCUGUCGUGAAAUCCCCGGACUCAACCUGGGAAUGGCGAUGGAUACUGGCUGGCUAGAGUGUGUCAGAGGAUGGUGGAAUUUCCGGUGUAGCGGUGAAAUGCGUAGAGAUCGGAAGGAACAUCAGUGGCGAAGGCGGCCAUCUGGGACAACACUGACGCUGAAGCACGAAAGCGUGGGGAGCAAACAGGAUUAGAUACCCCCGUAGUCCCUGUCUCUUAUAC